AUGAACACGGUACGGGUAUUGGUCUCGUGUGCUGCAAACUUUGGGUGGAAAUUGCACCAGUUAGAUGUCAAGAAUGCCUUCUUACAUGGUGACUUGAAAGAAGAGGUAUACAUGGAGAUACCGCCAGGUUUUGGCACAGAACAGACUACGGGGAAGGUAUGCAGGCUGAAGAAAUCCUUGUAUGGUCUGAAGCAAUCGCCGAGGGCAUGGUUUGAUAGGUUCAGACGAGCUGUUUGGAAUAUGGGGUAUGGCCAAUGUAAUGGUGACCACACGGUGUUUUAUAGACACACUAAUAAGAAGAUCACCAUUGUUGCAGUGUAUGUUGAUGAUAUCAUCAUCACUGGAGAUGAUGAGGAGGAAAUAAAGAGAGUGAAGGGGUGUCUGAGCAAGGAGUUUGAGGUAAAAGACUUAGGAAGUCUAAAGUACUUCCUUGGCAUAGAAGUGGCCCGGAUAGAGAAGGGAAUAUCUUUGUGCCAACGAAAAUACACCUUGAAUCUUUUGAGUGACAUGGGCAUGAUGGGAUGUCAUGCAGCCCCUACUCCAAUUGAACAAAAUCAUCAAGUAACAGCACAAUCAGGUGAGGUAGUGAAUAAGGAAGAUUAUCAGAAGCUGGUUGGGAGGUUAUUGUACUUGUGUCAUACUAGGCCUGACAUUACGUAUGCCGUGGGGGUGGUGAGCAGAUACAUGCAUGAACCAAGGAGAGGGCAUCUUGAUAUUGUUCACAGAAUCCUGAGAUACUUGAAGGGGACUCCGGGUAAAGGGUUGUGGUUUGCGAAGAGUGGACAUCUUGAGGUGGAUGGCUAUAGUGACUCUGAUUGGGCUAGCUGUCAAGAUGAUAGACGAUCAACUUCAGGUUACUGUGUGUUUGUGGGAGGAAAUUUGGUGUCAUGGAGAAACAAGAAACAGAAUGUUGUGUCUAGAUCAACAGCAGAAGCUGAAUAUAGAGCAUUAUCUCAAGGGUUGUGUGAUAUGCUCUGGGUGAAGCACCUACUAUGCAAGUUGAAACUCUUGAGGAAGGGACCCUUAAGGGUGUGGUGUGACAAUCAGUCAGCUAUAGCCAUUGCUAAUAACCCAGUUCAACAUGAUAGGACGAAGCAUGUGGAAAUUGAUCGCUUCUUCAUUAAAGAGAAACUUGAUGCUGGGAUCAUCAGCCUUACUCAUGUCAGCUCUGGGCAGCAGUUUGCAGAUUGCUUGACAAAGGGACUGGGAACAAAGGACUGUAACUUGGCGUGUGACAAGAUGGGGAUGAUAGAUAUCUACCACCCAUAUUGA
Molecule: ribosomal RNA, 1272 nt
Filed under: Triticum aestivum (bread wheat)
Lineage: Eukaryota; Viridiplantae; Streptophyta; Magnoliopsida; Poales; Poaceae
Description: partial small subunit ribosomal RNA
Source: RNAcentral